This 309-nucleotide ribosomal RNA is filed under the name Triticum aestivum (bread wheat). RNAcentral's name for it is "partial small subunit ribosomal RNA". The record is from RNAcentral. Lineage: Eukaryota; Viridiplantae; Streptophyta; Magnoliopsida; Poales; Poaceae.
AUGAGCAACAGGAUUGUUAGAGAUGGCAAGAAUAUCAUUGCCAAGGCCCACGAGAUCAAAAGAGUUCAGAACCUGGAGGUUACCAGAGGUGAUUUAAAUGAGAUAUGGAGGAGGGAGGAGAUCAAGGCUAGACAGAGAUCCAGGGAGAAAGAAAUACUAGAGGAAGAACUCAACACUAGCUAUUUCAAAGCAGUAGCCAAUCAAAAGAGGAGGAAAAAACAAAUUGCUGUAUGGAAACACCCUCAGGCCCUAUUGAAGACACCCAAGACUAUUUGGCGAAAAACCGCGUUAAAUCUAUCUUCUUGGUAG